RNAcentral lists this ribosomal RNA (301 nucleotides) under uncultured bacterium. RNAcentral describes it as "partial 16S ribosomal RNA". It matches the Rfam family "Bacterial small subunit ribosomal RNA", at positions 509 to 807 of the family's 1533-position model. The record is from RNAcentral.
CAGUCGCCACGGUAAUACGAAGGGGGCUAGCGUUGCUCGGAAUCACUGGGCGUAAAGGGUGCGUAGGCGGGUCUUUAAGUCAGGGGUGAAAUCCUGGAGCUCAACUCCAGAACUGCCUUUGAUACUGAAGAUCUUGAGUUCGGGAGAGGUGAGUGGAACUGCGAGUGUAGAGGUGAAAUUCGUAGAUAUUCGCAAGAACACCAGUGGCGAAGGCGGCUCACUGGCCCGAUACUGACGCUGAGGCACGAAAGCGUGGGGAGCAAACAGGAUUAGAUACCCCUGUAGUCCCUGUCUCUUAUAC